GGGCCUAUAGCUCAAUGGUAGAGCACCAGACUUUUAAUCUGUUGGUUCGGGGUUCGAAUCCCCGUGGGCCUACCA
Molecule: transfer RNA, 75 nt
Filed under: Actinomycetaceae bacterium
Lineage: Bacteria; Bacillati; Actinomycetota; Actinomycetes; Actinomycetales; Actinomycetaceae
Description: tRNA-Lys
Rfam family: tRNA
About the family: Transfer RNA (tRNA) molecules are approximately 80 nucleotides in length. Their secondary structure includes four short double-helical elements and three loops (D, anti-codon, and T loops).
Source: RNAcentral